AUAUAGAGAGAGAGAGAGAGAGAGAGAGAGAGAGAGAGUAAGGCUAUUAUGCUUCUGGAAGUACGGAGCCUUCGGUGCUUCCAGGUCGUUUUUCAUGUUGCGACUUUCGAAUCGUCGAUCGGCUCCGUUAAACUUGAUUUAGAGUAUUUGAUGUAUCUAAAAAAUAAAUUAUGUGAUUUUUCGAUAUUAUUUGCCUAGUAAACGAAGGGACUCAAAAUCAACGGCUGAAAAUAAAAAUUUUACAAAACGCGAUAAUAUAACAUUGAAAUUUUAGAUUAAAGAUAUUGAUCUUAUUUUAUAUAGUAUAAAGAAUUUUCAAUUAAAAUUUCACGUGAUUUGGAUGUUUUUACACCGUUAAACUUCCAAACGGCCUACUACGGUCUUUAAAAUUAUUGAUUUUGAGCCCAUUCGAUCACUAGUCAAAUGAUAUUGAAAAAUCAUAAAAUUUAUUUUCUAGAUACUUCAAAUACUCUAGAUCAAGUUUAACGGAGCCGAUCGACGAUUCGAAAGUCGCAAUAUGAAAAACGAUCUAGAAGCACGGAAGGCUCCGUGCUUCCAGAAACAUAGUAAUCU
This 573-nucleotide long non-coding RNA is filed under the name Ananas comosus (pineapple). RNAcentral's name for it is "long non-coding RNA (ACOM_LNC008010)". The record is from RNAcentral. Lineage: Eukaryota; Viridiplantae; Streptophyta; Magnoliopsida; Poales; Bromeliaceae.